Molecule: ribosomal RNA, 486 nt
Filed under: uncultured bacterium
Lineage: Bacteria
Description: partial 16S ribosomal RNA
Rfam family: Bacterial small subunit ribosomal RNA
Source: RNAcentral
GAUGAACGCUGGCGGCGUGCCUAAUACAUGCAAGUCGAACGCUGGAAAUCUAGCCUGCUCGCUUGAAGGAGUGGCGAACGGGUGAGUAAUACAUAAGCAACCUACCCACGAAGACUGGGAUAAUCUCUGGAAACGGGGACUAAUACCGGAUAGGUAAUCGGAAGGCAUCUUCUGAUUAUUAAAGGUUAAAAACACUGGUGGAUGGGCUUAUGGCGCAUUAGUUAGUUGGUGAGGUAACGGCCCACCAAGACGAUGAUGCGUAGCCGGCCUGAGAGGGUGAACGGCCACAUUGGGACUGAGACACGGCCCAGACUCCUACGGGAGGCAGCAGUAGGGAAUUUUCGGCAAUGGGGGAAACCCUGACCGAGCAACGCCGCGUGAGUGAUGACGGCCUUCGGGUUGUAAAGCUCUGUUGUAAGGGAAGAACGGUAGAUAGAGAAUAUCUAAAUGACGGUACCUUACCAGAAAGCCACGGCUAACUACGUG